Chiloscyllium plagiosum (whitespotted bambooshark) is the source of this 269-nucleotide non-coding RNA. The record is from RefSeq and is a predicted model, not a curated record. NCBI's taxonomy places the organism in Eukaryota, Metazoa, Chordata, Chondrichthyes, Orectolobiformes, Hemiscylliidae.
GUGUGUCUCUGUGUGUGUCAGUGUGUGUCAGUGAGUGUGUGUCUGUGUGUGUGUCAGUGUGUGUGAGUGUGAGCUGGGACUGUCUGACACCCCGCCGCCUGCCCGCACCCCCACCCCCCUCCCCCCGCGCCUUGGAUUUUUUGUUCUGUUGCUGUCGCCUGUUCUCGAAUCUCUGUGAGAGGAUCACCAUCCAAACUGGGAUCUAUGAGCGGAAAAGUGACAAAGGCAAAGGAAGAAAAGGAUGCCAGCAAAGUUCUGGCUGACGCUGC